Molecule: ribosomal RNA, 899 nt
Filed under: uncultured bacterium
Lineage: Bacteria
Description: bacterial SSU rRNA
Rfam family: Bacterial small subunit ribosomal RNA
Source: RNAcentral
CAUACGCUAUGACUGGACCGUCGCUUUACAGGCAGGUAAACGAACUAUCACGUGGGAUUCAGACUUUGAUUCUGGAUCAGGACGAACGCUGGCGGCGGCGCCUAACACAUGCAAGUCGAACGAGCGAGAGAGAGCUUGCUUUUCUUGAGCGAGUGGCGAACGGGUGAGUAACGCGUGAGGAACCUGCCUCAAAGAGGGGGACAACAGUUGGAAACGACUGCUAAUACCGCAUAAGCCCACGGUGCCGCAUGGCACAGAGGGAAAAGGAGCAAUCCGCUUUGAGAUGGCCUCGCGUCCGAUUAGCUAGUUGGUGAGGUAACGGCCCACCAAGGCAACGAUCGGUAGCCGGACUGAGAGGUUGAACGGCCACAUUGGGACUGAGACACGGCCCAGACUCCUACGGGAGGCAGCAGUGGGGAAUAUUGCACAAUGGGGGAAACCCUGAUGCAGCGACGCCGCGUGGAGGAAGAAGGUCUUCGGAUUGUAAACUCCUGUUGUUGGGGAAGAUAAUGACGGUACCCAACAAGGAAGUGACGGCUAACUACGUGCCAGCAGCCGCGGUAAAACGUAGGUCACAAGCGUUGUCCGGAAUUACUGGGUGUAAAGGGAGCGCAGGCGGGAAGACAAGUUGGAAGUGAAAUCUAUGGGCUCAACCCAUAAACUGCUUUCAAAACUGUUUUUCUUGAGUAGUGCAGAGGUAGAUGGAAUUCCCGGUGUAGCGGUGGAAUGCGUAGAUAUCGGGAGGAACACCAGUGGCGAAGGCGGUCUACUGGGCACCAACUGACGCUGAGGCUCGAAAGCAUGGGUAGCAAACGGGAUUAGAUACCCUGGUAGUCCAUGCCGUAAACGAUGAUUACUAGGUGGUUUGGGGGGGAUUGACCCCCUCAGUGCCGCAGUUA